RNAcentral lists this ribosomal RNA (252 nucleotides) under uncultured Bacteroides sp. RNAcentral describes it as "partial 16S ribosomal RNA". It matches the Rfam family "Bacterial small subunit ribosomal RNA", at positions 524 to 776 of the family's 1533-position model. Lineage: Bacteria; Pseudomonadati; Bacteroidota; Bacteroidia; Bacteroidales; Bacteroidaceae. The record is from RNAcentral.
UACGGAGGAUGCGAGCGUUAUCCGGAUUUAUUGGGUUUAAAGGGUGCGUAGGCGGGUUAUCAAGUCAGCGGUAAAAUCGUGGAGCUCAACUCCAUCCAGCCGUUGAAACUGGCAGUCUUGAGUACAGUAGAGGUGGGCGGAAUUCGUGGUGUAGCGGUGAAAUGCUUAGAUAUCACGAAGAACUCCGAUUGCGAAGGCAGCUCACUGGACUGCAACUGACACUGAGGCUCGAAAGUGUGGGUAUCAAACAGG